Molecule: long non-coding RNA, 2182 nt
Filed under: Homo sapiens (human)
Lineage: Eukaryota; Metazoa; Chordata; Mammalia; Primates; Hominidae
Description: HSALNT0344018
Source: RNAcentral
ACAGGUAGGCCUUGUGCCUUUCACACCACAGGGAAGGAAUGACGCCAUAGAAUGCAAAUUGUCGGUGCUCAUCUUUUAAUUUCAGCAGUCUGGGUGCUGGGGGACUCAGGCAAUAAAGAUUGGCACAGAAGUAGCACUGUCCCCGCAUGGCAGAGCCAUAUGGGCAAGGCUGGCAGGAGAAGGCACAGUGGGGAACAGCAAGGACCCCGAGGCAGCAGGAAACCAGAAUAUCCCACACUCACAUGUGGUCAAGAUGAUGUGAAGAAGCAAACCCCUAACCCCACCUCCAGUGCUGUGGCACUCCUAAAGCCACUGCCGAAUUUAGGGGCAACACGGGGGAAAUAUUGGGAGGAUUUAUAGAUGAGUCAUUAAAUUUCUGUCGCCCAGCAGGACAGGACACAAAAUAGAAAUCAAGCUGUUCUGUAAAAGAGUAAAGUCACAGUCCUCUACUCCUCAAUUUGUGGACUGAGAUUUGGACACACAUAGUAGAUCACAGAGCCAAGACACUAGCAGUGACGACGGGUGUCCAGGUCCAGGGGACUGAAUGACAGGACUCAGUGACCUGCCAAGGAUGAGCAAGGAGUCAGUGAGGGUCUCAGUUCCGUGGAUGUGAGAUUUUGGCCUCUAGAGAGGGGACAAUACUUCGGAACAAGAAUCACUCAUGAUAAUUUUCUAUGACCUGAGAAAAUCCCCUCAAGAGCUUUCAAUUCCAUUUGCUCUGAUUGCAGCCUCACUAAGCAACCUUCUGAUGGCUCUUAGUUUCCCAGGUAACCUGAAGAACAUUCUGGCUUAUUAUGUAUCAGUCUUUGAGAGUCUAAUUAGGGCUACCUUGAGAACCUGGUCAAAUUAGGUUGCAUCUACAAGUUCAGGGGUCUGGUGAUGCACAUCUGAGGCCCAGGCUCCAUACCUUCAACCGCAUUGAGGUUCUGCCAGUCCAGGGUUUCUGGACGCCUUUCUGAAGCCAAUUAUUAGCACUCCAGUAUUUUCAUUUUUCAUUGCAAUUUUUUCUUUGACCCAUGGUUAAUUCAGAAGUCUUUCAACUGUUGUCAAAGCAUACAUGAUUAUUUAGAAGUUACUUGUUACAAAUUUCUGCCUUUACUACAUUUUGUCAGAGAAUGAGAAACCCUGUGGUACGUUUGAGUAGGUUUGAAUCCUGAUUCUGCCUCCUGCCAUCUGUGUCAUUGUUAGCAAGUCACUGAGUCUCAGAAUCCUCACAACCAGGACAACUGGGGUCCCGGCAAGGAGACCACGUGUGGACAAACCUGUACGUUAUGCCCAGGAGCUCAACUCCGGCUGGUUUGUGCUGCAACAUCGCCGAGGACUCCACCCAACUUAUAAGCGGGACUUGCUCCAUCUGCUCCCUCUGGCCUCUCACUUGCCACUCUGGUUGCUGCCUGGGCCCCACCCGCCUGCCUUGGCUACUUCCAUUUCUGCUUGUGGACAGAGGGCAAUGCAUCCAGGAAACGUCCCAAUGUGGAAAUGCGGCUCUCACCGCCCCUGAUACAAACUAAACACAUUCUUUCCAGAAAGCCUCCCUUCCCCCUGGACACAAUGACCUAAGGGGAACAAAUAGCCAACCCAGACUCCUGGCUCCUGCGGUGACUGGCCAGAGACUCCCACAUCCUUUCCCACACCCUGUGCAGCCCACCCCCACCACCCCUCAUCCAGCAUCCUCCAGAGAGAGGGGAAGAGAGAGGAGGGGGAGCCUGGAACUUUGUAUUCCAUAUGUACAUGGGUGGAGGCAAAUCGGUGCAUCGUGGAGAGAUAGUCCCACUCCACUAGCAAAAGCCUUCCUCCAGAUAUCAGUGCAAACUCCUCAGGGCAAUCACUGGUACAAAAUCAUCUCUAGCGCAAAGUCAUAUUUCUUUUCUUCCCAUUCCCCUCAUUUUCUGAUCCCAAUUUCAUCUGCAGCUGGGAUCUAUUUAAAUUUCUAACUUCCAGGCAUAUCUAACUUUUUGUCUUUGGUGGGAAGAAGACUGACUACAUAGAAUAAUAAUCAUGAAAUAAUUUAUUUCUUAAAAUAAAUUUUAAAAAUAAAAAUAAAAAUUAUUAAUAGUAAGAACAUUGCAAGCCCUCAAGGCUUCCAAGCUGGGGUCCUCUGUGUAUUUCACCUCCCUGCUUCCAACUCACCUCACCUUUCAGUCCAAAAAGUUACCAAAUCCACUCUGUUGCCCAGACUGGA